GACGAAGGGGGCUAGCGUUGUUCGGAAUUACUGGGCGUAAAGCGUGUGUAGGUGGUUGUCAUAGUCAGGUGUGAAAGCCUUGAGCUCAACUCAAGAAAUGCACUUGAUACUGGGCAACUAGAGGGCCGGAGAGGAUAGUGGAAUUCCCAGUGUAGUGGUGAAAUACGUAGAGAUUGGGAAGAACACCAGUGGCGAAGGCGGCUAUCUGGACGGUUUCUGACACUAAGACACGAAAGCGUGGGGAGCAAACAGG
Molecule: ribosomal RNA, 253 nt
Filed under: uncultured bacterium
Lineage: Bacteria
Description: partial 16S ribosomal RNA
Rfam family: Bacterial small subunit ribosomal RNA
Source: RNAcentral